This 702-nucleotide long non-coding RNA is filed under the name Olea europaea subsp. europaea. The record is from RNAcentral. Lineage: Eukaryota; Viridiplantae; Streptophyta; Magnoliopsida; Lamiales; Oleaceae.
GAUCUACUUCAUACCAAGAAUGGAAGCUACAAUUUUAAUUAUGAGUAAAAAGGAAGAAGAAGAAGAAGAAGGUUGAAAUAACAAAUAUACGUGCAUUUUGUCAGGGCCAGACAUCAAACGAGACAAGUGAGGCCCUCACCUUGGGGCCAAACUUAAAAAGAGCCCUUAAAUUCUGGUAUUUAUUUUACUUUGAAAUUUAAAAAACUAAAUGUUUAAAACUAUGAUGUUAGCUAGAUAUCAACAAAGUAUUUAUGAUGAAGUGGUUAAGUUCUAAUACUUUACUCAACGGCAUGUGAGUUUGAUUUCCUAAAUAGUCUUUAGAGAAAAUUACUAGAAAUGUCCACUUUCACAUAUUCAUUUGCAAAAAUGUCCACCAUUGCAAUACUUUCAAAAAUGUCUAUUUUGGAGUAAUUUAGACCAAAGUAUCUUUGUCAACAAUUUAUGAUUCCACACAAAGACAAAAAUGGACAUUUUUGUAAUUAAAACUUUUAUUGACCAAUAAAAUUUUGACACAUAACUUAUCCUAUUUAUUUCAAAAGUGCACACGUCAAAUAACAAUAAAUGUUAUUUUUCUCAUUGACACAAAAAUGUCGAGAACUACAUUUCAAAUGUAGAGAAAUAUUAUGCUUAUGUUUGAUGCCCAUUCUAUAUCCAAUUUUUAGAAAAAUUAUAGACGUUACAUAGUGAAUGUAUCAGGACAAG